CUAUAGUGUUAUGAUGUAUGCAAGUCCUUUGCUUCGUUACGACAUAUUAACAUGUUCGCUUCAGUUCAUGUUCUACACUAAUAAAAUCACAAGUUCCUUGAGGAGGAAGUUCCUUUGGAAAGGUAACAAUGAAAAUCCAAGUUUCAUUUGGUUAAGUGAGCAAAGGUUACACAGCCUUGGACUAGGGGUGGUCUAGGCAUCUGUUAGAUAUGUAAAUAUA
This 220-nucleotide long non-coding RNA is filed under the name Nicotiana benthamiana. Its description in RNAcentral is "long non-coding RNA (NBEN_LNC003714)". The record is from RNAcentral. Lineage: Eukaryota; Viridiplantae; Streptophyta; Magnoliopsida; Solanales; Solanaceae.